CCGCUGGUGCCGACGAUCGCCGGGACCGGCACUUUCGCGGCGGACGAGCUGGUAACCUCUGCGAUCGUUCGGUGAUG
RNAcentral lists this microRNA precursor (77 nucleotides) under Meleagrid alphaherpesvirus 1 (Turkey herpesvirus). RNAcentral describes it as "microRNA hvt-mir-H5 precursor". Its record names the gene hvt-mir-H5. Lineage: Duplodnaviria; Heunggongvirae; Peploviricota; Herviviricetes; Herpesvirales; Orthoherpesviridae. The record is from miRBase by way of RNAcentral.